This 481-nucleotide ribosomal RNA is filed under the name uncultured bacterium. RNAcentral describes it as "partial 16S ribosomal RNA". It matches the Rfam family "Bacterial small subunit ribosomal RNA", at positions 28 to 507 of the family's 1533-position model. The record is from RNAcentral.
GAUGAACGCUGGCGGCGUGCUUAACACAUGCAAGUCGAACGAAGCAUUUGCGACAGAUUUUUUCGGAAUGAAGUUGCUUAUGACUGAGUGGCGGACGGGUGAGUAACGCGUGGGUAACCUGCCUUGUACUGGGGGAUAGCAGCUGGAAACGGCUGGUAAUACCGCAUAAGCGCACAAUGUUGCAUGACAUGGUGUGAAAAACUCCGGUGGUAUAAGAUGGACCCGCGUCUGAUUAGCUAGUUGGUGAGAUAACAGCCCACCAAGGCGACGAUCAGUAGCCGACCUGAGAGGGUGACCGGCCACAUUGGGACUGAGACACGGCCCAGACUCCUACGGGAGGCAGCAGUGGGGAAUAUUGCACAAUGGAGGAAACUCUGAUGCAGCGACGCCGCGUGAGUGAAGAAGUAAUUCGUUAUGUAAAGCUCUACCAGCAGGGAAGAUAGUGACGGUACCUGACUAAGAAGCUCCGGCUAAAUACGUG